Molecule: transfer RNA, 82 nt
Filed under: Rhizoctonia solani AG-8 WAC10335
Lineage: Eukaryota; Fungi; Basidiomycota; Agaricomycetes; Cantharellales; Ceratobasidiaceae
Rfam family: tRNA
About the family: Transfer RNA (tRNA) molecules are approximately 80 nucleotides in length. Their secondary structure includes four short double-helical elements and three loops (D, anti-codon, and T loops).
Source: Rfam by way of RNAcentral
GGCCGCCUGGCGAAAUGGUAUCGCGUCUGACUACGAUUUGUGAUAUAUCAGGAGAUUGCAGGUUCGAGCCCUGCGGUGGUCA